This 461-nucleotide ribosomal RNA is filed under the name uncultured bacterium. RNAcentral's name for it is "partial 16S ribosomal RNA". It matches the Rfam family "Bacterial small subunit ribosomal RNA", at positions 338 to 795 of the family's 1533-position model. The record is from RNAcentral.
CCUACGGGAGGCAGCAGUGAGGAAUAUUGGUCAAUGGGCGGAAGCCUGAACCAGCCAAGUCGCGUGAGGGAAUAAGGCCCUACGGGUCGUAAACCUCUUUUGCCGGGGAGCAAGGGCGGGUACGUGUCCCGGCCCGGAGGGUACCCGGAGAACAAGCAUCCGCGAACUUCGGGCCAGCAGCCGCGGUAAUCCGGAGGAGGCGAGGGUUAUCCGGCUUUAUUGGGGUUAAAGGGUGCGUGGGCGGGCCUUUAAGGCAGCGGGAAAAGUUCGGGGCGUAACCCCGGUACGGCGUUUGAAACGGGGAGCCUUGAGUGGGCGAGAGGAAGGCGGAAUGCGUGGUGUAGCGGUGAAAUGCGUAGAUAUCACGAAGAACCCCGAUUGCGAAGGCAGCCUUCCGGAGCCCUACUGACGCUGAGGCGCGAAAGUGCGGGGAUCGAACAGGAUUAGAUACCCUUGUAGUC